RNAcentral lists this ribosomal RNA (468 nucleotides) under uncultured bacterium. Its description in RNAcentral is "partial 16S ribosomal RNA". It matches the Rfam family "Bacterial small subunit ribosomal RNA", at positions 28 to 507 of the family's 1533-position model. The record is from RNAcentral.
GACGAACGCUGGCGGCGUGCUUAACACAUGCAAGUCGAACGGAAAGGCCCUGCUUUUGUGGGGUGCUCGAGUGGCGAACGGGUGAGUAACACGUGAGUAACCUGCCCUUGACUUUGGGAUAACUUCAGGAAACUGGGGCUAAUACCGGAUAGGAGCUCCUGCCGCAUGGUGGGGGUUGGAAAGUUUCGGCGGUUGGGGAUGGACUCGCGGCUUAUCAGCUUGUUGGUGGGGUAGUGGCCUACCAAGGCUUUGACGGGUAGCCGGCCUGAGAGGGUGACCGGCCACAUUGGGACUGAGAUACGGCCCAGACUCCUACGGGAGGCAGCAGUGGGGAAUAUUGCACAAUGGGCGGAAGCCUGAUGCAGCAACGCCGCGUGCGGGAUGACGGCCUUCGGGUUGUAAACCGCUUUCGCCUGUGACGAAGCGUGAGUGACGGUAAUGGGUAAAGAAGCACCGGCUAACUACGUG